CCUACGGGAGGCAGCAGUGGGGAAUUUUGGACAAUGGGCGAAAGCCUGAUCCAGCAAUGCCGCGUGCAGGAAGAAGGCCUUCGGGUUGUAAACUGCUUUUGUACGGAACGAAACGGUCUGCUUUAAUACAGUGGGCUAAUGACGGUACCGUAAGAAUAAGCACCGGCUAACUACGUGCCAGCAGCCGCGGUAAUACGUAGGGUGCGAGCGUUAAUCGGAAUUACUGGGCGUAAAGCGUGCGCAGGCGGUUAUAUAAGACAGUUGUGAAAUCCCCGGGCUCAACCUGGGAAUUGCAUCUGUGACUGUAUAGCUAGAGUACGGUAGAGGGGGAUGGAAUUCCGCGUGUAGCAGUGAAAUGCGUAGAUAUGCGGAGGAACACCGAUGGCGAAGGCAAUCCCCUGGACCUGUACUGACGCUCAUGCACGAAAGCGUGGGGAGCAAACAGGAUUAGAUACCCUGGUAGUCCACGCCCUAAACGAUGUCAACUGGUUGUUGGGUGCGAUUAGUACUCAGUAACGAAGCUAACGCGUGAAGUUGACCGCCUGGGGAGUACGGCCGCGAAGGUUGAAACGUCAAAGGAAUUGACGG
Molecule: ribosomal RNA, 588 nt
Filed under: uncultured bacterium
Lineage: Bacteria
Description: bacterial SSU rRNA
Rfam family: Bacterial small subunit ribosomal RNA
Source: RNAcentral